Molecule: RNase P RNA, 326 nt
Filed under: Candidatus Pacearchaeota archaeon
Lineage: Archaea; Nanobdellati
Description: RNase P RNA component
Rfam family: Archaeal RNase P
About the family: Ribonuclease P (RNase P) is a ubiquitous endoribonuclease, found in archaea, bacteria and eukarya as well as chloroplasts and mitochondria. Its best characterised activity is the generation of mature 5'-ends of tRNAs by cleaving the 5'-leader elements of precursor-tRNAs.
Source: RNAcentral
GUGAGUCGGGAAGCUGACUACGGAAAUAGCCAUUAAAUUGGCAAAAGUUCAAAAGAAAUGAAUUUUAUUUCUGAGGAAGGUCCGGACAUCAUUAAGAAGCGACCUAUUGAAAAGUAGGCUCUCGCGAGGGAGAGCUCCGCAACAGAAACGACACCGCUCUUUCAGAGAAAUGAACCUUGAGGGAAUCUGAGAAGAAAGAGAAAGGAUGAAACGGGCGACUUCGCUGAUGCAAGUGCCAUAGCCGCACGCAUAGACAGAUGUCAGCACGAACUGUCUGUCCAGAAAUGGAACAGAGUUCGACAGAAUCUGGCCUAAUCCCGACUCAC